UGGAUGUUAAAGGUUGCCCCAUAAAACUGUGAUGUUAACAGCCUUGCUGUUGAAACAUUGAAUUCCGUGUUUACAGUGGAAGUGGUGUGGUGGGUGGGGUACAUGAAAUCUGAAUUCAAAGUGUAUUCAGGAAUUGUGCCAGACACUGGAUUUGUUUGUGAGGAGGAACAUCAUGGCCUCGCAGCUUCUGGACAAGAUGUUUUCGCGCAGAGUGGUUUGUGUAACGUUUGCCAUCUGGAAGAUUUGCUGCCACCGCCAUGGUUUUGAGCAUCUUUCCUAAUUUGACCUCUCCAAGGCGUUGUCUCAAAAACCACUGACUGGAGCAACCCUCUCUGGUGCGCGGCGCUAGGGAACAUGGAGUGUGUGGACCAAGGACAGCAGUUUCCCACAUCUGGUCUAUGUCCUCAUCAGUUAGAGGUUCAGCUUCCCUUGGGCGGUUGCCUUGGCCCUGUAUAGAGCAAUGUUCAACUGUUCGAUAAUGUAAAGGUUUCACGAGUCAACGCAAAGUCUGUUCCGGAACCGGACAUAAUGCUGUGUGCAAAAAGAUGACGACGGAAGUACCGAUCCAGCGAACUUAAAAAGCCUCUCAAUGAACUUGGUUCAUAGUCCGACCCAUCCGAUUUAGUUAGAGACAGGAUGAAUCUUGCCACAUAGUGGUCUAACUGAUCAACGGGAAUUUCAUGUAUUUGCUUUGUUUCGCCUUGUUGUGCAAGAUAUCUGCGAAAUUUGUUCAUAUCAGCAAAUGUUUUUUUGCUGUGUUUUUAUUUACUUGG
Dreissena polymorpha is the source of this 773-nucleotide long non-coding RNA. RefSeq lists it as uncharacterized. The record is from RefSeq and is a predicted model, not a curated record. The transcript is spliced from 4 exons. NCBI's taxonomy places the organism in Eukaryota, Metazoa, Mollusca, Bivalvia, Myida, Dreissenidae.